RNAcentral lists this ribosomal RNA (444 nucleotides) under uncultured bacterium. Its description in RNAcentral is "bacterial SSU rRNA". It matches the Rfam family "Bacterial small subunit ribosomal RNA", at positions 335 to 800 of the family's 1533-position model. The record is from RNAcentral.
ACUCCUACGGGAGGCAGCAGUGGGAAUCUUGGACAAUGGGCGCAAGCCUGAUCCAGCCAUGCCGCGUGAGUGACGAAGGCCUUAGGGUUGUAAAGCUCUUUUAGCAGGGAAGAUAAUGACGGUACCUGCAGAAUAAGCCCGCGUACAUCCGUGCCAGCAGCCGCGGUAAUACGGAGGGUGCAAGCGUUAAUCGGAAUUACUGGGCGUAAAGCGUGCGUAGCGGCUUGAUAAGCCGGUUGUGAAAGCCCCGGGCUCAACCUGGGAACGGCAUCCGGAACUGUCAGGCUAGAGUGCAGGAGAGGAAGGUAGAAUUCCGGUGUAGCGGUGAAAUGCGUAGAGAUCGGGAGGAAUACCAGUGGCGAAGGCGGCCUUCUGGACUGACACUGACGCUGAGGUACGAAAGCGUGGGUAGCAAACAGGAUUAGAUACCCUGGUAGGCUCUGC